Molecule: long non-coding RNA, 1610 nt
Filed under: Heterocephalus glaber (naked mole-rat)
Lineage: Eukaryota; Metazoa; Chordata; Mammalia; Rodentia; Bathyergidae
Description: lncRNA (ENSHGLG00000050872.1)
Source: RNAcentral
CCCUUCCUCCUUCUAAGGCCAGCCUCUGAAGGGACCGCUCCUUGUCCCUGUAGGCAGGGGAUGCUCCCAAAGUCUAGGGCCCUGUCAGUGUCCCUCUUGCCAGAUGGCCCUGGGCAGGGUCUGCCCCCUGCCAGGGUGUGCCCCAAACAGGACACUGGGCAGAAACCAGGAGGGGUGGUGAAGGGAGCCCCGUCCGCCCUGGCCCUGCCGAGGUGUCUGGCAAAGGUGGAGAGUCCAGCCCCAGCCAGGACAGGGCUCCCCUAGGUGGCGUGGAGCUGGCGCUGGGCCUCCCUGACCCAGGCCCUGCCCUGGCCCACCUAUCUGGUCACCAGCAUCGGACAGCAGGUGACACUCCAGGUCGCCCGCCAGGUAACCCAGCCGUCUCCAUGGAGCCCUGGCCGCAGGCCAGGGCCACUGCCGGGAGUAGAGGUCACCAGUGACUGCUCGGAGGCUCCUCUGACCCUCGGGCUCUCAGCACCAACAGGUUGGCGAGCGGCGGGCACCCAGGAGGCCCCAAGGACCCGCCCCGCUCCGGGAGAAGGCGGACGAGGCCCUGGGCUUAGACUUCUGGGCUGCUCCCGUACACAGCGGGUGCUCACUAAGUGCAGGUCGCCAAGGACCGCGGGCCGUGUCUCCCCUCAUCAGAAAACAACCAGGCACUUUCCGACCUCAGGGCCUCUGCUCAGUGGCUCCUCCGCUGGAUCACCGCCCCCAGAUUCUUGCCUCCUCCUCCGUCUGGUUCAGGCUUCAUGAUUGCUUUAUUAGAAAGUUCUUUGCUUGCUGGGUGUGGUGCACGCCUGUGAUCCCAGCACUCUGGGAGGCUGAGGCAGGAGGAUCACAAGUUCAAGCCCAUCCUGGGCAAUUUAGCAACUUAGCAAGACCCUGUCUCAAAAUUAGAUAAAGGGCUGGGGAUGCAGCUCAGUGUGAGCCCUGGGUUCAAUCCCAGUACCGCAAAAAAACAAAAAUUUUGGCCGGGGAUGGAGCUCAGUGGUUUCACCGCCUGCUGCGCAAGCGCAAGGACCCGAGUUCGAUCCCCGGUACCAAAAAAAUAAAAAUAAAAUAAAAUAAAAAAUUUUUAUUUCUCUUUUGAAAACUGCUCACCGUCCAGUGCCCUCCUCCCUUGUCUUCCCUGACCCUGCUAGGGCCAUCAGGUCCACCGGGUCUGUGUCCAGAGCCCCCCCCACGUCCCCAUCCCAGCAGAGGUCCCAGCUGGUACCAAGCAGCCUCUUCCCAGGGGUCUGUUCCGCCCAGGGGACAGCACGGCGGCCACGGGUGCCAGCCCACAGUGCCAAUGGGGCAGAGCCAGGGGACGGUGUGCCCGACCUGGCCGCUGGAGAGAGGGGUCUGGGGAGGCGCAUGGGGCGGGAGCCCAGGCUCCAGCUCCCCACGCAGGCCAGCCCGCUCGCCUGUGGUCCGGGGCGCAGGGCUAUGAGAAGGGGACUCCAGGGACGGCUGUGUGGCGGCCAGAGCAGGGGAGACGGGGGCCAGGCUCAGCUCAGCCACACCCGCCCUCACAGGCCCGGGUCCCUGGCAGGCGCCCUCCCCCAGCCUGGUGGGCCUGCCGCUGUUCAGCACAGGGCGCUGCGGUGUCAGAGACGGCCUUUCUGGUG